GUGUCAGCAGCCGCGGUAACACGGGGGGAGCAAACGUUGUUCGGAAUUACUGGGCGUAAAGGGCGCGUAGGCGGCCUCGUAAGUGGUGUGUGAAAUGUCCUGGCUCAACCAGGGAAUUGCGCUCCAAACUGCGGGGCUUGAGGGCAGUAGAGGAAGCUGGAAUUCCAGGUGUAGCGGUGAAAUGCGUAGAUAUCUGGAGGAACACCAUUGGCGAAGGCGAGCUUCUGGGCUGUCCCUGACGCUGAUGCGCGAAAGCUGGGGGAGCAAACAGGAUUAGAAACCCCCGUAGUCC
Molecule: ribosomal RNA, 292 nt
Filed under: uncultured bacterium
Lineage: Bacteria
Description: partial 16S ribosomal RNA
Rfam family: Bacterial small subunit ribosomal RNA
Source: RNAcentral